Molecule: long non-coding RNA, 657 nt
Filed under: Citrus maxima (pomelo)
Lineage: Eukaryota; Viridiplantae; Streptophyta; Magnoliopsida; Sapindales; Rutaceae
Description: long non-coding RNA (CMAX_LNC000744)
Source: RNAcentral
UUUUGGCUUCUUCGUUUCUUCUUCAUCUAUGCUUCUUAGAUUUCUUCUACUUCUUAUUUCAAUAAUCUGCAAUAAUCAACCAACCCUUAAUUUGACAAAUAAUAGUCCAUCUCCAAUUGCAAUUGUGAUGGUCAAAAUUUGAAUCCUGGAUUUCUUCAAAGUCCCAGAAUUUCUUGAUGAAAUCGUGCAAUAUUUAAAAAAAAAAAAAAACAAAUUGGGAGCUCUGACUAGAUGGCGUAGGUCGUGAUGGUGGGUUCGCCUCAUCAGUCUUAUCAUUUCUGCACAUGGCUUUGGUAAAAUUAUAGGGAUUUUGAGGCAAAAUUUUGGGGAUUGAGGAUGCUUUGGCGGCGGCUGGAGGUUGGGAGGUGCUUUGUUCGAUGGCUAGAGGCUUGCUUGGUGCCGCCUGCGGCGGCUUUAGUCUUGGAGUGCUGCUGCGCACGGUGGCUUGAGGUUUUGAGGGCGAUGGGCACGGCGGCUGGAGGCUUGUGAAGUGUCUUUCAACCCAAGUGCCCUUUCAAUUCCCUCAAAUCCAUUCUCAGUUCAAAUCCCCAGAAUAAUGCCUUAAAACCUUAAGCCAACUAAAACUGAAUUUUACGUUGAUUAGGUUGAGGGUUCGGGUUUCAUCAAUUGGAUUUAAGAUUAGCAACAACUGGAUUU